GCUUCGGUGGGGGGUGCGUGGUCCUGCGGAGCCUCGUGGGCUGCGCCGCUCGGGGCUGGGUGGCCUCCGGUGCCGGCCCGGCCAGAGCC
Molecule: transfer RNA, 89 nt
Filed under: Sinomonas cellulolyticus
Lineage: Bacteria; Bacillati; Actinomycetota; Actinomycetes; Micrococcales; Micrococcaceae
Description: tRNA-Thr
Source: RNAcentral